Molecule: transfer RNA, 72 nt
Filed under: Ornithorhynchus anatinus (platypus)
Lineage: Eukaryota; Metazoa; Chordata; Mammalia; Monotremata; Ornithorhynchidae
Rfam family: tRNA
About the family: Transfer RNA (tRNA) molecules are approximately 80 nucleotides in length. Their secondary structure includes four short double-helical elements and three loops (D, anti-codon, and T loops).
Source: Rfam by way of RNAcentral
GGAGGGAUGGCUCAGUGGAAAGAGCCUGGGCUUUGGAGUCAGAGAUCGUGGGUUCGAAUCCCGGCUCUGCCA